Molecule: ribosomal RNA, 105 nt
Filed under: Prolemur simus (greater bamboo lemur)
Lineage: Eukaryota; Metazoa; Chordata; Mammalia; Primates; Lemuridae
Source: RNAcentral
UCUACGGCCAUACCAUCCUGACCAUGCCUGGUCUAGGAAGCUAAGCAGGGUCGGUUGUGGUUAGUACUUGGAUGGGAGAAUGCCAAGACUUCAACAUCAGUAUAA